GACGAACGCUGGCGGCGUGGAUUAGGCAUGCAAGUCGAGCGAGAACCGUAGCAAUACGGGGACAGCGGCGAAAGGGACAGUAAUAUGUAGGUACCUACCCUCGGGUCCGGGAUAGCUGCGGGAAACUGCAGGUAAUACCGGAUGACAUCUCCGGAUCAAAGGUGUGAUUCCGCCCGGGGAGGGGCCUGCAUCCUAUUAGCUAGUUGGUGGGGUAACGGCUCACCAAGGCGACGAUGGGUAGCGGGUGGGAGAGCAUGACCCGCGUCAUUGGGACUGGGACACUGCCCAGACACCUACGGGUGGCUGCAGUCGAGAAUCUUCGGCAAUGGGGGAAACCCUGACCGAGCGACGCCGCGUGCGGGAUGAAGGCCCUCGGGUUGUAAACCGCUGUCGUAGAGGAGGAAAUGCAGGGGGGUUCUCCCCUCUGUUUGACCUAGUCUAGGAGGAAGGACGGGCUAAGUUCGUGCCAGCCGCCGCCGUAA
Molecule: ribosomal RNA, 482 nt
Filed under: uncultured bacterium
Lineage: Bacteria
Description: partial 16S ribosomal RNA
Rfam family: Bacterial small subunit ribosomal RNA
Source: RNAcentral